AUAUUAAUAUGGCAGUACAUAUUCUAAAAUUGGAAAGAUAUAGAAAAGAUUAGCAUGGCCCUUGCACAAGGAUGACAUGCAAAUUCAUGAAGCAUUCCAUGUUUUU
Molecule: small nuclear RNA, 106 nt
Filed under: Octopus vulgaris (common octopus)
Lineage: Eukaryota; Metazoa; Mollusca; Cephalopoda; Octopoda; Octopodidae
Also listed under: 1 other name
Source: RNAcentral